UGGAGGUGGCUGCUCCAGCUGCCACUGGCUGUGGGGAGCUGGAUCUGGCCGUGGCCGCUUGUGGACAGCAGUAUCACCUGAACUAAUUACCGAGGAGGUGAUUAGAGCCUCAGCACACCCCAGGCGCAGGGAAACAGCAGGUCGGAGCUGCAGCCACGUGGGAGUCGUGCCGAGGAGGACUGCAGUGAAAGAGGGACUCUGUGAAACCGGGAGGUCACGGAAGGCAGUGGAAAAAGAGGCCAAAGUGCAAAAAAAGGCCUGCAGAGGGAACCUGAAAUAAGGAAACGGGGCUCUGGAAUGGACAGAUCCUGCAGCCCUGCUACAGGGUGGACCGUCUCCAAACCCCUGGCACCUUCUGGGGCAUCACCCACCUCAGUUCUUUACGAAGAUCAGCGUGUUUUCUGAACAGAAGCUUGUUCUUGACCUUCUGGGGGACAUCGGGGAUGUACCAGGCUGCGAUCAGCUUGACACACAGAGCCACGUGCUGCAGGGAGCAAAGGCAGUCAAGGGCUCCCAGCCCGGGCAAGGGGCCUGCACCCAGUCCCUUCCCCCUUGUCCCAGCCCUCUCCUGCCCUCCUGGGCGCUUACCUCAAAGAUGAUGAGGAAGGCAAGCCGGGCAGCGAAGAUGUGCCAGAACUGUAUGGUGUAGGUGUAGUCAUCGGCAUGCCGGUAAUCCCGGUACCUGCAGCACAGCCCCGUCGGUGCCAGCCCAGGUUCCUCUGUGCCAGGCGUCACACCCUGCCUUGGCUCCCUCCAUGGGGGUCAGAGAAGAGCCCCAGCAGCUUCCCCCAGCUGCCUCCAGCUCUGUCACCCACCCGCGCCCUGGCUGCAGGCUGGAUGUAACGGGGCUGUACAUGUACUUGUAGACCUGCAUGGGGAUGAAGUCAGAGGUGAUGGCAAUCACCAGCCCGUUCCCGAUGACAGCCAGGAUGCCGAUGGCCUCCAGGACCUGAAGCCAGAUCCCUGCAGGAGAAGAGCAGCUGGGUGCUCAGGGGCUUCUGGGGAAGGGGCUAAGCCCCAGCACCAUUGGCCCAAGCAGCAGUGCUGGCAGGAGGGCGCCCGUGGACCCCUCUCACCGAUGUCGUUGGCCCUCCUGGGCACCAUGCGCCGGUGCAGCCGCACCAUCUUGAUGGCGUCCAGGUGGAUCUCGAAGAGGUUGUUGAGGAACGCCAGGAGUGGGGCCAGGGGGAAGGCAGCGACAAAGAUGGUGGUGAAGCUGUACUGGAUGACUGCAGAGGGGGAGACACCGGGUGCUGGUGUGAAGCUGCUGCAGAGCAGAUGUCCUCCAGGGUCUGGAACACUGUCUGGGAAUCCCUUCCCCAGCAUCCAGCACUCUCCAGCCAAGGAGCACACGUGGCUCUGCCCCAGCACCCUCCUCGCCUGCCCUACGUACUCAUCUCCAAGAACUCGUUGAACAAGCUGAAGACGUUGACCUCGUUGAGCUCAUAGUUGCUCAGCCACUGCCUUUUGCAGGGGUCCUCAGCCUCCUCCUCCUCUCCCAAAAUUAUGCUCCUUUUCUGGGGGUGCUUAUGCUUCUUGCGUAGCUUGUGGCUUAUCCAGCUGCAAGACAGAGGGAUUUGUGUGGCUGCUGCAGACGACAGCAGGGCUGGACUGCUGCUGGGACACCCCUGGAGGAAGGGAAUGGAGGACACUCUGGCCCAAAGACCAGGGUUCCUCUC
This is a long non-coding RNA of Myiozetetes cayanensis, 1679 nucleotides long. RefSeq lists it as uncharacterized. The transcript has 6 exons. Lineage: Eukaryota; Metazoa; Chordata; Aves; Passeriformes; Tyrannidae. The record is from RefSeq and is a predicted model, not a curated record.